RNAcentral lists this long non-coding RNA (206 nucleotides) under Elaeis guineensis (African oil palm). Its description in RNAcentral is "long non-coding RNA (EGUI_LNC043304)". The record is from RNAcentral. Lineage: Eukaryota; Viridiplantae; Streptophyta; Magnoliopsida; Arecales; Arecaceae.
UCCUUCCCAACAGCAUUUUCCAGCACGUGUGACAAGCCUCUCAGCUCUCGUCCCCCGCCUCGUUCCGCUCCACCUCUGAAAUCCCAACCCUAGGGGAAAAUGGAUGGGAUAGAUUCUAGGAGGCAGCAAGGGCAACGGCAGCGGCGACGAUGACCUGUUUCAAGAAGAACCGAAAUUACCUCGGAGGCAGCGGUGGCGCCGAAGGC